RNAcentral lists this ribosomal RNA (468 nucleotides) under uncultured bacterium. RNAcentral describes it as "partial 16S ribosomal RNA". It matches the Rfam family "Bacterial small subunit ribosomal RNA", at positions 28 to 507 of the family's 1533-position model. The record is from RNAcentral.
GACGAACGCUGGCGGCGUGCUUAACACAUGCAAGUCGAACGGAAAGGCCCUGCUUUUGUGGGGUGCUCGAGUGGCGAACGGGUGAUUAACACGUUAGUAACCUGCCCUUGACUUUGGGAUAACUUCAGGAAACUGGGGCUAAUACCGGAUAGGAGCUCCUGCUGCAUGGUGGGGGUUGGAAAGUUUCGGCGGUUGGGGAUGGACUCGCGGCUUAUCAGCUUGUUGGUGGGGUAGUGGCUUACCAAGGCUUUGACGGGUAGCCGGCCUGAGAGGGUGACCGGCCACAUUGGGACUGAGAUACGGCCCAGACUCCUACGGGAGGCAGCAGUGGGGAAUAUUGCACAAUGGGCGGAAGCCUGAUGCAGCAACGCCGCGUGCGGGAUGACGGCCUUCGGGUUGUAAACCGCUUUCGCCUGUGACGAAGCGUGAGUGACGGUAAUGGGUAAAGAAGCACCGGCUAACUACGUG